This 531-nucleotide ribosomal RNA is filed under the name Triticum aestivum (bread wheat). RNAcentral's name for it is "partial small subunit ribosomal RNA". Lineage: Eukaryota; Viridiplantae; Streptophyta; Magnoliopsida; Poales; Poaceae. The record is from RNAcentral.
AUGCAGAAAGGAAGUCUUCACGAUCCAUUAUUCCCCAUCUCGGACCUGGAAUCAUACCAGCCGAUGGUUGGUGGUUUAUCGCUCGUUCAGCUGAUGGUGUACCAUAUAACUGGAAUUAACUCAUGCAAGUCGAAGAAGGAUUGGCCGGUGCUACCGGCUGGAGUCAAGUUCGAUCCCACGGGUCAGGAGCUUAUCGAGCACCUUGAGGCCAAAGUGAGUGCUGACAGCGUGAGAUCUCACCCUCUCAUCGAGUUGUUCAUACCAACCAUCGACAGCGAGCAUGACAUAUGCUACACCCAUCCUGAGAAACUUCAAGGUAUCACACUGAGUGGCCUAAGCAAGCAUUUCUUCCAGCGCAAUUCCAGGGCAUUCAAAAGGGGCACGUGGACACGUCGCCAGAUACAGUCAGAGUGCGGCAUGCACGCGAUGUGGCACAACACCGACAAUACCUUGCUGGUGAUGGUCAACGGCCGGCAAACGGGCAGCAAAAAGGUUCUCGUGCUGCACACCAACAAGAACUUCGACCAGUAG